UUCUAUGGUCUUAUCACCCUGAACACGCCCAGUCUCGGCUGAUCUUGGAAGCUGAGCAGGGUUUGGCCUGGUUGGCACUUAGAUGGGAGACUCUGAAGUUGGGUGGACAUAUUGG
This 115-nucleotide ribosomal RNA is filed under the name Castor canadensis (American beaver). Lineage: Eukaryota; Metazoa; Chordata; Mammalia; Rodentia; Castoridae. The record is from RNAcentral.